RNAcentral lists this long non-coding RNA (327 nucleotides) under Malus domestica (apple). RNAcentral describes it as "long non-coding RNA (MDOM_LNC004057)". The record is from RNAcentral. Lineage: Eukaryota; Viridiplantae; Streptophyta; Magnoliopsida; Rosales; Rosaceae.
ACGGUUCCAGCAUCUAAUGGCAACACACAUCAGGCGCCUGUUGCCCCCACGGUACAAGGAAAUCCCUAUCCUUCUCAGCCUUAUCCUGGAAAUCCAGGGAUGGGGUCCUAUAACAGCUAUGUUGUUCCAUGGGCGCAAGCACAACCUCAAUCUCAACUCCAACAGCCACAGUUCCAACCUCAAUCACAAUUUCAACCUCAGCCUCAAUUCCAGUCACAAUUUCAUCCUCAAUAUCCUCAAUACUCGUCUGCCUACCCUCCCCCACCAUGGGCAGCUUCACCGGGAUAUUCUAACCAAAAUCAUUUUUCCACCAAUAAUACAUCGACU